Molecule: ribosomal RNA, 446 nt
Filed under: uncultured bacterium
Lineage: Bacteria
Description: SSU rRNA
Rfam family: Bacterial small subunit ribosomal RNA
Source: RNAcentral
AGAGCGAACGCUGGCGGCAGGCUUAACACAUGCAAGUCGAGCGGGCGUAGCAAUACGUCAGCGGCAGACGGGUGAGUAACGCGUGGGAACGUACCUUUUGGUUCGGAACAACCCAGGGAAACUUGGGCUAAUACCGAAUAAGCCCUUACGGGGAAAGAUUUAUCGCCGAAGGAUCGGCCCGCGUCUGAUUAGCUAGUUGGUGGGGUAACGGCCCACCAAGGCGACGAUCAGUAGCUGGUCUGAGAGGAUGAUCAGCCUCAUUGGGACUGAGACACGGCCCAAACUCCUACGGGAGGCAGCAGUGGGGAAUAUUGGACAAUGGGCGCAAGCCUGAUCCAGCCAUGCCGCGUGGGUGAUGAAGGCCCUAGGGUUGUAAAGCCCUUUCGGCGGGGAAGAUAAUGACGGUACCCGCAGAAGAGCCCGGCUAACUUCGCGCCAGCAGCCGU